This 263-nucleotide ribosomal RNA is filed under the name uncultured bacterium. RNAcentral's name for it is "partial 16S ribosomal RNA". It matches the Rfam family "Bacterial small subunit ribosomal RNA", at positions 92 to 354 of the family's 1533-position model. The record is from RNAcentral.
CCGACCGCGCACGGGUGAGUUAACACGUAUGGAACCUGCCCGCAGCAGGGGGAUAAGCGGAAGAAAUUCCGUCUAAUACCGCGUAACACCGCAGAGGGGCAUCCCUCGGCGGUUAAAGAUUCAUCGGCUGCGGAUGGCCAUGCGGCGCAUUAGCUAGUCGGCGGGGUAACGGCCCACCGAGGCGACGAUGCGUAGGGGUUCUGAGAGGAAGGUCCCCCACACUGGUACUGAGACACGGACCAGACUCCUACGGAAGGCAGCAG